UUAAGCGACUAAGCGUACACGGUGGAUGCCCUGGCAGUCAGAGGCGAUGAAGGACGUGCUAAUCUGCGAAAAGCGUCGGUAAGGUGAUAUGAACCGUUAUAACCGGCGAUGUCCGAAUGGGGAAACCCAGUGCAAUUCGUUGCACUAUCGUUAACUGAAUACAUAGGUUAACGAGGCGAACCGGGGGAACUGAAACAUCUAAGUACCCCGAGGAAAAGAAAUCAACCGAGAUUCCCCCAGUAGCGGCGAGCGAACGGGGAGCAGCCCAGAGUCUGAAUCAGCUUGUGUGUUAGUGGAACGGUCUGGAAAGUCCGACGGUACAGGGUGAUAGUCCCGUACACCAAAAUGCACAGGCUGUGAACUCGAAGAGUAGGGCGGGACACGUGGUAUCCUGUCUGAAUAUGGGGGGACCAUCCUCCAAGGCUAAAUACUCCUGACUGACCGAUAGUGAACCAGUACCGUGAGGGAAAGGCGAAAAGAACCCCGGCGAGGGGAGUGAAAAAGAACCUGAAACCGUGUACGUACAAGCAGUGGGAGCACCUUCGGGUGUGACUGCGUACCUUUUGUAUAAUGGGUCAGCGACUUAUAUUCUGUAGCAAGGUUAACCGUAUAGGGGAGCCGCAGGGAAACCGAGUCUUAACUGGGCGUUAAGUUGCAGGGUAUAGACCCGAAACCCGGUGAUCUAGCCAUGGGCAGGUUGAAGGUUGGGUAACACUAACUGGAGGACCGAACCGACUAAUGUUGAAAAAUUAGCGGAUGACUUGUGGCUGGGGGUGAAAGGCCAAUCAAACCGGGAGAUAGCUGGUUCUCCCCGAAAGCUAUUUAGGUAGCGCCUCGUGAACUCAUCUUCGGGGGUAGAGCACUGUUUCGGCUAGGGGGUCAUCCCGACUUACCAACCCGAUGCAAACUACGAAUACCGAAGAAUGUUAUCACGGGAGACACACGGCGGGUGCUAACGUCCGUCGUGAAGAGGGAAACAACCCAGACCGCCAGCUAAGGUCCCAAAGUCAUGGUUAAGUGGGAAACGAUGUGGGAAGGCACAGACAGCCAGGAUGUUGGCUUAGAAGCAGCCAUCAUUUAAAGAAAGCGUAAUAGCUCACUGGUCGAGUCGGCCUGCGCGGAAGAUGUAACGGGGCUAAACCAUGCACCGAAGCUGCGGCAGCGACACUAUGUGUUGUUGGGUAGGGGAGCGUUCUGUAAGCCUGCGAAGGUGUGCUGUGAGGCAUGCUGGAGGUAUCAGAAGUGCGAAUGCUGACAUAAGUAACGAUAAAGCGGGUGAAAAGCCCGCUCGCCGGAAGACCAAGGGUUCCUGUCCAACGUUAAUCGGGGCAGGGUGAGUCGACCCCUAAGGCGAGGCCGAAAGGCGUAGUCGAUGGGAAACAGGUUAAUAUUCCUGUACUUGGUGUUACUGCGAAGGGGGGACGGAGAAGGCUAUGUUAGCCGGGCGACGGUUGUCCCGGUUUAAGCAUGUAGGCUGAUUGUCCAGGCAAAUCCGGAUAAUCAAGGCUGAGGUGUGAUGACGAGGCACUACGGUGCUGAAGUAACAAAUGCCCUGCUUCCAGGAAAAGCCUCUAAGCAUCAGGUAACAUUAAAUCGUACCCCAAACCGACACAGGUGGUCAGGUAGAGAAUACCAAGGCGCUUGAGAGAACUCGGGUGAAGGAACUAGGCAAAAUGGUGCCGUAACUUCGGGAGAAGGCACGCUGUGUGUAGGUGAAGUCCCUGCGGAUGGAGCUGAGACCAGUCGAAGAUACCAGCUGGCUGCAACUGUUUAUUAAAAACACAGCACUGUGCAAACACGAAAGUGGACGUAUACGGUGUGACGCCUGCCCGGUGCCGGAAGGUUAAUUGAUGGGGUUAUCCGUAAGGAGAAGCUCUUGAUCGAAGCCCCGGUAAACGGCGGCCGUAACUAUAACGGUCCUAAGGUAGCGAAAUUCCUUGUCGGGUAAGUUCCGACCUGCACGAAUGGCGUAAUGAUGGCGCUGUUCCACCCGAGACUCAGUGAAAUUGAACUCGCUGUGAAGAUGCAGUGUACCCGCGGCAAGACGGAAAGACCCCGUGAACCUUUACUAUAGCUUGACACUGAACAUUGAGCCUUGAUGUGUAGGAUAGGUGGGAGGCUUUGAAGCGUGGACGCCAGUCUGCGUGGAGCCAACCUUGAAAUACCACCCUUUAAUGUUUGAUGUUCUAACGUUGGCCCCUGACCGGGGUUGCGGACAGUGUCUGGUGGGUAGUUUGACUGGGGCGGUCUCCUCCCAAAGCGUAACGGAGGAGCACGAAGGUUAGCUAAUCCUGGUCGGACAUCAGGAGGUUAGUGCAAUGGCAUAAGCUAGCUUGACUGCGAGCGUGACGGCGCGAGCAGGUGCGAAAGCAGGUCAUAGUGAUCCGGUGGUUCUGAAUGGAAGGGCCAUCGCUCAACGGAUAAAAGGUACUCCGGGGAUAACAGGCUGAUACCGCCCAAGAGUUCAUAUCGACGGCGGUGUUUGGCACCUCGAUGUCGGCUCAUCACAUCCUGGGGCUGAAGUAGGUCCCAAGGGUAUGGCUGUUCGCCAUUUAAAGUGGUACGCGAGCUGGGUUUAGAACGUCGUGAGACAGUUCGGUCCCUAUCUGCCGUGGGCGCUGGAGAAUUGAGGGGGGCUGCUCCUAGUACGAGAGGACCGGAGUGGACGCAUCACUGGUGUUCGGGUUGUCAUGCCAAUGGCACUGCCCGGUAGCUAAAUGCGGAAGAGAUAAGUGCUGAAAGCAUCUAAGCACGAAACUUGCCCCGAGAUGAGUUCUCCCUGAGACUUUAAGUCUCCUGAAGGAACGUUAAAGACGAUGACGUUGAUAGGCCGGGUGUGUAAGCGCAGCGAUGCGUUGAGCUAACCGGUACUAAUGAACCGUGAGGCUUAACCU
RNAcentral lists this ribosomal RNA (2894 nucleotides) under Klebsiella pneumoniae. RNAcentral describes it as "bacterial LSU rRNA". It matches the Rfam family "Bacterial large subunit ribosomal RNA". The record is from RNAcentral. Lineage: Bacteria; Pseudomonadati; Pseudomonadota; Gammaproteobacteria; Enterobacterales; Enterobacteriaceae.